Molecule: long non-coding RNA, 2412 nt
Organism: Girardinichthys multiradiatus
Lineage: Eukaryota; Metazoa; Chordata; Actinopteri; Cyprinodontiformes; Goodeidae
Exons: 2
Source: RefSeq, a predicted model, not a curated record
UUUGACCCCAAGACCUUCUUGCUGCAAAACAGCAGUGUUAACAACUGCACCACCAUGCCCUAAAUCCACAUUUAAAAUAAAUAACAAAACUAGUUAAACAUUGCAGUGCGUUGCAUAAGUAUUCAUACUCCUUGUCAUUUUGUCAUGUUACAACCACAUACUUCAGGGUUUUUGUUGUGGUGGGGGUGGGGGGAUUUUAUUUGACAGACCAACACAAAGUACAGCAUAAUUGUGAACUUAAAGGAAGACACACUUGUCAAAAUUUCUUGCAAAUUAGAAAAGUGUGGCAUGUAUUUGUAUUCACCCCUAUUACUCCAACAAGCCAAAAUUAAAUCCAGGUCAACGACUUGCCCUCACAAGACACCUACUGAAUAAAUACUGUGCAUCCUGAAAGUAUUCACAGUGCUUUUUCUACAUUUAAUUAUGUUACAGCCUUAUUUCACAUGGUAUCAAAUUAAUCUAUUUCCUCAAAAUUGUACACACAAUACCCUAUUAUGAUAAUGUGAAACAAGUUUGUUUGAGAUUGUUGCUAAUUUAUUACAAAUAGAAAACUAAGAAAUCACAUUUGCAUAAGUAUUCACAGCCUUUGCUUAAUACUUUGUUGAUCCACCAUUAGGAGCAAAUUCAACCUCAAGUCUUUUUGAAUAUGAUGCCACAAGCACAGCUCACCUAGUCGUCCCAGUCUGUGGUCAACAGCUCUGGCGCAGGUUUUCAUUCAGGAUGUCUCCGUACAUUGCUGCAUUCAUCUUUCUCUCUAUCCUGACUAGUCUGCAAGUUCCUGCUGCUGAAAUCAUCCCCAUAGAAUGAUGCUGCCACCACCAUGCUUCACUGUAGGGGUGGUAUUGGUCUGGUGAUGAGUUGUUCCUGGUUUCCACCAAACAUGACACCUGGGAUUCACACCAAAGAGUUCAUUCUUUGUCUCAUCAGACCAGAUAAUUUUGUUGGUCAUGGUUUGACAGUCCUUCAGGUGCCUUUUGGCAAACUCCAGACUGGCUGUCAUGUUCUUUUUAUUAAGGAGUGGCUUUCGUCUGGCCACUACCAUACAGUCCUGAUUGGUGGAUUGCUGCAGAGUUUGCUGUCCUUCUGGAAGGUUCUCCUCUCUCUACACAAAGGAUCACCGGAACUCUGACAGAGUGACCAUGGGGUUCUUGGUCACCUCCCUGAGUAAGGCUUUUCUCCCCCAAUCACUCAGUUUAGACGGCCAACCAGCUCUAGGAAGAGUCCUGGUGGUUCCAAACAUCUUGCAUUUACGAAUGAUUGAGGCCACUGUGCUCAUUUGGACCUUCAAAGCAGAAACUUUUCUGUAUCCUUUCCCAGAUUUGUGCCUCAAGACAAUCCUGUCUCAGAGGUCUACAGACAAUUCCUUUGACUUCAUGCUUGGUGUUUGUGCUCUGACCUGCACUGUCAAAUGUGGGACCUUAUAUAGACAGGGGUGUGCCCUUCCUAAUCAUGUCAAAUCAACUGAAUUCACCACCCCAUUUAAGCUGUAGAAACAUCUUAAGGAUGACCAGUGGAAACUAUGCACCUCAGCUCAAUUUUGAGCUUCAUGGCAUAGGCUGUGAAUACUUAUGUAAAUGUGAUUUCUUAGUUUUCUAUUUGGAAUAAAUUUGCAACAGUCUCAAUCAAACUUUAUUUACCUUGUCAUAAUGGAGUAUGGUGUGUAGAGUUUUGAGGAAAGAGAUUACUUUGAUGACAUUUGGAAUAAAGCUGAAACAUAACUAAAUGUGAAGAAAAUUGCAGUGCUGUUGUUAUGGUUCUGGCCCAUCUGCCUGCUUCCUCCUCUGCCCUCCUGUCAGCAAUCAGCUCCAUCUGCUCCACCUGUUUGCUGCUGCGUUGCAGCGCAAUCAUUGUCAUGCCACUCACCUGUGCACCAGCAGUUAUAUUCAGCCUCCGUCUGGCAGACGGUGCCAGAUUUUUGAAAGCCAUUUGAGAUCCAGCGUGUCUUCCUGCCUGAUCAUGGUUUCUGACCAUGUUUUUGUCUCUUGGAUUUCCCUCUCCUGCCUGGCCCUUGUUGGAUGUCUCUAACUCUGGAUCUCAACGCUGUUUCUGUCCCUGGAUUUUUGUCUCUGCCCAGCCCCUGGUUUUAUCUGCCUAAGCCUACCUGCCUUUCCUUCCUGCCAUGACUCCCUGUCCCCGCCCAGUCCCCUGUCAAGUGGCCUGUCCCGGCUUUUCUGGUUCUCGCCCCCGCAUCAACUUACUGGUCGGUGAGUUUGGGUCUAUCGGCAAUCCGACAACGGUCAGUGGGACACUCCCGUAUGGAUGUUCUAGGCUGGCUUCUGAUUGACUACCUCCCAGCUGAGGAGCCGUUUCCUGGUUCGCUGUCCCACACAGACCCUGAGAAGUGGUUCCUGUGUUCUGAUUGGUGGUUGCCAGUGUUCCUGUGUCCAAGACCAUAAUAAAUCUUAACUUGUG